RNAcentral lists this ribosomal RNA (833 nucleotides) under uncultured bacterium. Its description in RNAcentral is "bacterial SSU rRNA". It matches the Rfam family "Bacterial small subunit ribosomal RNA", at positions 58 to 916 of the family's 1533-position model. The record is from RNAcentral.
CAAGUCGACCAGAUCUUCGGAUCUAGUGGCGAACGGCGGAGUAAUACAUGAGCAACGUGCCCUUAUGCCUGGGAUAUACAGAGGAAACUCUGGGCAAUACCGGAUGUGGCUAUCUUUCGGCAUCGAGAGAUAACUAAACGGAUUUAUUCGCAUAGGGAGCGGCUCAUGACCCAUCAGGUAGUUGGUAGGGUAAUGGCCUACCAAGCCGACGACGGGUAGCGGGUCUGAGAGGAUGAUCCGCCCGAGUGGGACUGAGACACGGCCCACACACCUACGGGUGGCAGCAGUUGGGAAUCUUGCACAAUGAGGGAAACCUUGAUGCAGCGACGCCGCGUGGACGAUGAAGGGUUUAGGCCUGUAAAGUCCUUUUACCAGGAAAGACUUAGGACGGUACCUGGUGAAUAAGCUCCGGCUAACUACGUGCCAGCAGCCGCGGUAAUACGUAGGGAGCAAGCGUUGUCCGGAUUUACUGGGCGUAAAGGGCGCGUAGGCGGUCUGUUAAGUGUGGUGUGAAAUCUCCAGGGCUCAACCCGGAAACUGCACCGCAUACUGGCAGACUGGAGGAAGGUAGAGGUAAGUAGAAUUCCCGGUGUAACGGUGACAUGUGUAGAUAUCGGGAGGAAUACCAAUAGCGAAGGCAGCUUACUGGGCCUUUCCUGACGCUGAGGCGCGAAAGCGUGGGUAGCAAACAGAAUUAGAUACUCUGGUAGUCCACGCCCUAAACGAUGGAUACUAGGCGUCAAGGGUAUCGACCCCCUUGGUGCCGCAGCUAACGCAUUAGUAUCCCGCCUGGGGAGUACGACCGCAAGGUUGAAACUCAAAUGAAUUGACGG